Molecule: ribosomal RNA, 119 nt
Filed under: Pteropus alecto (black flying fox)
Lineage: Eukaryota; Metazoa; Chordata; Mammalia; Chiroptera; Pteropodidae
Source: RNAcentral
AUCUACAGCUAUGCCACCCUGAACAUGCCGGAUCUUCGUCUGAUUUUAGAAGCUAAGCAGGGUAGGGCUGGUUAGUACUUGGAUGGGAGACCACCUAGGAAGACCAGGUGCUGUAGGCA